GACGAACGCUGGCGGCGUGCUUAACACAUGCAAGUCGAACGGAAAGGCCCUGCUUUUGUGGGGUGCUCGAGUGGCGAACGGGUGAGUAACACGUGAGUAACCUGCCCUUGACUUUGGGAUAACUUCAGGAAACUGGGGCUAAUACCGGAUAGGAGCUCCUGCUGCAUGGUGGGGGUUGGAAAGUUUCGGCGGGUGGGGAUGGACGCGCGGCUUAUCAGCUUGUUGGUGGGGUAGGGGCUUACCAAGGCAUUGACGGGUAGCCGGCCUGGGAGGGUGGCCGGGCACCAUGGGACUGAGAUACGGACCAGACUCCUACGGGAGGCAGCAGUGGGGAAUAUUGCACAAUGGGCGGAAGCCUGAUGCAGCAACGCCGCGUGCGGGAUGACGGCCUUCGGGUUGUAAACCGCUUUCGCCUGUGACGAAGCGUGAGUGACGGUAAUGGGUAAAGAAGCACCGGCUAACUACGUG
This 468-nucleotide ribosomal RNA is filed under the name uncultured bacterium. RNAcentral's name for it is "partial 16S ribosomal RNA". It matches the Rfam family "Bacterial small subunit ribosomal RNA", at positions 28 to 507 of the family's 1533-position model. The record is from RNAcentral.